AGAGUUAAAUAGUACGUGAAAUUGUUGAAAGGGAAACGAUUAAAGUCAGUCGUACUUACGGGUGAUCAACCUUUUAGGUGCGAUCUUGUGGGUAUCUGAGAGUGGUAACACCUUGAUGUUCUCAAGUUCGUGCUUUGGGGCGUACUUGCUCGUUUGUAGGUUAACAUCAGUUUCAGUCAUUACAAAAUGACUAGAGGAAUGUAGCUUCGAUUUCGGUUGAAGUGUUAUAGCCUCUGGUAGAUGUAAUGACUGAGACUGAGGAUUGCAACGAAUACCUUUUAGGCUAUCUGUCUGGCUUCUGGUUAUCGCUUUGGUGCCGAAAGCUUGCUUAAGGUUAUUGAAGUUGGUGGCCAAUAGGUUAGAACGGAUUAAAUUCGUUAAGGAUGUUGACGUAAUGGCUUUAAACGACC
This 410-nucleotide ribosomal RNA is filed under the name Kamienskia bistrata. Its description in RNAcentral is "partial large subunit ribosomal RNA". The record is from RNAcentral. Lineage: Eukaryota; Fungi; Glomeromycota; Glomeromycetes; Glomerales; Glomeraceae.